CCCUUAGAUGUUCUGGGCCGCACGCGCGCUACACUGAUGCAUUCAACAAGUUUUACCUUGGCCGAGAGGCCUGGGAAAUCUUUCAAAUAUGUAUCGUGAUAGGGAUAGAUUAUUGCAAUUAUUAAUCUUGAACGAGGGAUUCCUAGUAAAUGCAGAUCAUCAUUCUGCGUUGAUUACGUCCCUGCCCUUUGUACACACCGCCCGUCGCACCUACCGAUUGAAUGAUCCGGUGAAGCCUCGGGAUUGUGCCCAGAGAACUUUAUUGUGAUUUGGGUGUGAGAACUUGUCUAAACCUUAUCAUUUAGAGGAAGGUGAAGUCGUAACA
Molecule: ribosomal RNA, 325 nt
Filed under: uncultured eukaryote
Lineage: Eukaryota
Description: partial 18S ribosomal RNA
Rfam family: Eukaryotic small subunit ribosomal RNA
Source: RNAcentral